This is a non-coding RNA of Oncorhynchus mykiss (rainbow trout), 400 nucleotides long. The record is from RefSeq and is a predicted model, not a curated record. Lineage: Eukaryota; Metazoa; Chordata; Actinopteri; Salmoniformes; Salmonidae.
AGGGUAUGCCAGGGUAUCACCUGAUCCAGGACACGGCCGGACUACAGGCCUUAACUCCUCUCGCGACUAAAGUCCAAUAGGAGGGAUGGUGGACAGGGAGCCAGUCCAGGAGCAUGUACAUCACUUGCAAAACAUUCGGCCACCGGCAGCAGAUGAUCCUGUGUACACUGUGUCUUGGUGCCUGUGGUCGGGGGUUGGGAGCAGGCUCCAGCUCCUCAGGGACGCAGCGCUGAGACUGUCUGGUGGUCGGCUAGACAGGAUAGAGUAUUUUAUACGCAUGAAUAUGGUUAUCCAUUUCCUGACCCUUGUGAAACUAUUUCAACGCUGUGAUAAAACUGCCAUUUUGCAUUUUAUAAAACUGCCUCAUCUGGUGAUCUGGCCAGGUUUUAAAGGUUGAGGU